GAGGAAGGCAUGGAGACAGGAGUGGGCAGGGUGUGCCCAGGAGCACAGGGUCAAGGCUGGGGACAAGGAGAUGGGAGGAGGGACGGGGAGAUGCCUGCAGUCUAUGGUGUGUGGAGUGCGCUGGGCCAGCCUAGGCCAGGGUGGCUUGGGGACAGAGCCCUCUUUGUAUAAGCACAGGAAGCAGCUGGGAGUCAAAGCAUUGCAUACAACGCCAGGAGUUUGGCCACGUGCCCAGGAAUGAGGCUUGGAGCGGGGAGGGAAGCCGCAGAGGACCCAGGAAAGCUCUGAGGAAGAGAUCAAGCUGGAUCCUCACAAGAGACCCUGAAGACAGGCUCUGAUAUCAUCCCAUUACACAGAUGAGGAAACUGAGGCACAGAGCCACCACAUCGCCCACUGGGACCCCACCACCAGGAAAGAAUACAGGCAAAUCUGAACCCAGGCCACAAAGCUGGAACCUUCCCCGUGGCCUUGGGCCCCCAGCCACACCCUCACCCCAUUGCCUUGAUGUUCUAGCUGGGGGACCUGUCUAGGGUCCAUAUACAAUAUAUUAUUUCUCUUUCUAAUAAACACACAUGUUUGCACCUUUAUACAUUGUUCUGUAUUUGCCCUAUUUCCUCUUUGUAAAAAUAAUUAAAAACAAACAAACAAACAAAAAAACAGGGUCUCCCUCUGUCACCCAGGCUAAAGUGCAGUGGGGAAGAUAACAGCUCACUGCAGCCUCGAAUUGGGCUUAAGCA
This 737-nucleotide long non-coding RNA is filed under the name Homo sapiens (human). RNAcentral describes it as "non-protein coding lnc-CERS4-4:1". The record is from RNAcentral. Lineage: Eukaryota; Metazoa; Chordata; Mammalia; Primates; Hominidae.